Molecule: ribosomal RNA, 330 nt
Filed under: uncultured eukaryote
Lineage: Eukaryota
Description: partial 18S ribosomal RNA
Rfam family: Eukaryotic small subunit ribosomal RNA
Source: RNAcentral
CCCUUAGAUGUUCGGGGCCGCACGCGCGCUACACUGAAGGAAUCAGCACGUCUUUCUCCUUGUCCGAAAGGACUGGGUAACCCGCUGAACCUCCUUCGUGCUAGGGAUUGGGGCUUGUAAUUCUUCCCCAUGAACGAGGAAUUCCCAGUAAGCGCGAGUCAUAAGCUCGCGUUGAUUACGUCCCUGCCCUUUGUACACACCGCCCGUCGCUACUACCGAUUGGAUGGUUUAGUGAGAUCCUCGGAUUGGUCCCGGCGCGGCCUCUGGUCGUGCCGGAGUGCCGAAAAGAAGGUCGAACUUGAUCAUCUAGAGGAAGUAAAAGUCGUAACA